Molecule: non-coding RNA, 33 nt
Filed under: Cryptomonas curvata
Lineage: Eukaryota; Cryptophyceae; Cryptomonadales; Cryptomonadaceae
Source: RNAcentral
GCUCAGGGCAGGGAGGAAGCAGCCGCUGUCAUG